Molecule: ribosomal RNA, 377 nt
Filed under: uncultured bacterium
Lineage: Bacteria
Description: bacterial SSU rRNA
Rfam family: Bacterial small subunit ribosomal RNA
Source: RNAcentral
UACAGAGGGUGCAAGCGUUAAUCGGAAUUACUGGGCGUAAAGGGCGCGUAGGUGGGAAUGUAAGUCAGAUGUGAAAGCCCCGGGCUUAACCUGGGAAUUGCAUUUGAAACUGUGUUUCUAGAGUGAAGUAGAGGGUAGUGGAAUUUCCGGUGUAGCGGUGAAAUGCGUAGAUAUCGGAAGGAACACCAGUGGCGAAGGCGGCUACCUGGACUUCAACUGACACUGAGGCGCGAAAGCGUGGGGAGCGAAGAGGAUUAGAUACCCUCGUAGUCCACGCUGUAAACGAUGAGAACUAGCUGUUGGUAGGCUUUAAGCCUGUCGGUAGCGCAGCUAACGCGAUAAGUUCUCCGCCUGGGGAGUACGGCCGCAAGGUUAAA